This 252-nucleotide ribosomal RNA is filed under the name uncultured bacterium. Its description in RNAcentral is "partial 16S ribosomal RNA". It matches the Rfam family "Bacterial small subunit ribosomal RNA", at positions 524 to 776 of the family's 1533-position model. The record is from RNAcentral.
UACGUAGGGGGCAAGCGUUGUCCGGAUUUAUUGGGCGUAAAGAGCGUGUAGGCGGUUUGGUAGGUCCGCUGUGAAAACUCGAGGCUCAACCUCGAGACGCCGGUGGAAACCAUCAGGCUAGAGUCCGGAAGAGGAGAGUGGAAUUCCUGGUGUAGCGGUGAAAUGCGCAGAUAUCAGGAAGAACACCCGUGGCUAAGGCGGCUCUCUAGUACGGUACUGACGCUGAGACGCGAAAGCGUGGGAGCGAACAGG